Molecule: ribosomal RNA, 451 nt
Filed under: uncultured bacterium
Lineage: Bacteria
Description: bacterial SSU rRNA
Rfam family: Bacterial small subunit ribosomal RNA
Source: RNAcentral
ACGAACGCUGGCGGCGUGCCUAACACAUGCAAGUCGCGCGAGAAAAGGGGGGCAACUCCCUGAGUAAAGCGGCGCACGGGUGAGUAACGCGUAGGUGACCUACCCUUGAGUCCAGGAUAACCUACCGAAAGGUGGGCUAAUACCGGAUAUGACCACGGGGAUCUCGGUCCCCGAGGUGAAAGGUGGCCUCUGUUUACAUGCUACCGCUCAUCGAUGGGCCUGCGCGCCAUUAGCUAGUUGGUGGGGUAAUGGCCCACCAAGGCGAUGAUGGCUAGCUGGUCUGAGAGGAUGGCCAGCCACACUGGGACUGAAACACGGCCCAGACUCCUACGGGAGGCAGCAGUGGGGGAUAUUGCGCAAUGGGCGAAAGCCUGACGCAGCGACGCCGCGUGGGUGAUGAAGGCCUUCGGGUCGUAAAGCCCUGUCGAGGGGAAAGAAACGGUUUCGACCC